CGGGAGGCCUCGCCGUGGCCCCGGAAGGCCCGCAGGGCAGGUCUCCUCCGGGAUCUCUUGGCCUUGCCCUCUCCGCGGCCCCGGGCCUCCACACGUGCCUGUCGAGCUCCUACUGUGUGUCCCCCACGGCUCGAGGCUCCGGCUGCUUUGCGAGCGAGAUGGUGAUAGGUUUGUUCCAGAUUUUUCCUUUGACAAAGAAUACCUCUGUGAACAUACUCAAGCAUGUCUUUUGGUACAUGGUAUACAUGUGCAAGAAUUUGUCCAAGUAGGCUCCACACACAGCAUGAAGGCCAAUGCCGGGCUUGAACUCAGGACCCUGAGAUCAAGAGCUGAGCUGAGAUCAAGAGUUGGAUGCCUAGCCAACUGAGCCACCCAACUUCCCCUGUAUUCCUUUUCUUAAUGAGAAUUCCUCUCUUCCAUUGUACAAGCCUAAGGUCCCCAAAUCGCUGGAUUUGCUCCCGUAGUUUAUGCAUAUAUUAAACAAA
Molecule: long non-coding RNA, 485 nt
Organism: Canis lupus familiaris (dog)
Lineage: Eukaryota; Metazoa; Chordata; Mammalia; Carnivora; Canidae
Exons: 3
Source: RefSeq, a predicted model, not a curated record